This 73-nucleotide transfer RNA is filed under the name Stegodyphus mimosarum. RNAcentral describes it as "tRNA-Thr for anticodon CGU". It matches the Rfam family "tRNA". From Rfam's summary of the family: Transfer RNA (tRNA) molecules are approximately 80 nucleotides in length. Their secondary structure includes four short double-helical elements and three loops (D, anti-codon, and T loops). The record is from Rfam by way of RNAcentral. Lineage: Eukaryota; Metazoa; Arthropoda; Arachnida; Araneae; Eresidae.
GCCUUUGUGGUGUAGUGGUCAGCACGCUCGGCGCGUAACCGAGAGGUCCGUGGUUCGAUUCCUGGCGAUGGCG